This 459-nucleotide ribosomal RNA is filed under the name uncultured bacterium. RNAcentral describes it as "partial 16S ribosomal RNA". It matches the Rfam family "Bacterial small subunit ribosomal RNA", at positions 338 to 795 of the family's 1533-position model. The record is from RNAcentral.
CCUACGGGGGGCAGCAGUGAGGAAUAUUGGUCAAUGGGCGGGAGCCUGAACCAGCCAAGCCGCGUGAGGGAAGAAGGUACAGCGUAUCGUAAACCUCUUUUGUCAGGGAACAAAGGCGGGGACUAGUCCCCGGAUGAGGGUACCUUAAGAAAAAGCAUCGGCUAACUCCGUGCCAGCAGCCGCGGUAAUACGGAGGAUGCGAGCGUUAUCCGGAUUUAUGGGGUUUAAAGGGUGCGAAGGCGGCCUGUUAAGUCAGCGGGAAAAGCCCGGGGCUCAACCCCGGCGAGCCGUUGAAACUGGGGGGCUGGAGUUGGAGAGAGGUACGCGGAAUGCGUGGUGUAGCGGUGAAAUGCUUAGAUAUCGCGCAGAACCCCGAUUGCGAAGGCAGCGUGCCGGCUCCACACUGACGCUGAGGCACGAAAGCGUGGGUAUCGAACAGGAUUAGAUACCCGGGUAGUC